AAAACACAACGACUCUCGACAACGGAUAUCUCGGCUCUCGCAUCGAUGAAGAACGUAGCGAAAUGCGAUACUUGGUGUGAAUUGCAGAAUCCCGUGAACCAUCGAGUCUUUGAACGCAAGUUGCGCCCGAAGCCACUAGGUUGAGGGCACGUCUGCCUGGGUGUCACGC
This 169-nucleotide ribosomal RNA is filed under the name Peucedanum japonicum. RNAcentral describes it as "5.8S ribosomal RNA". It matches the Rfam family "5.8S ribosomal RNA". From Rfam's summary of the family: 5.8S ribosomal RNA (5.8S rRNA) is a component of the large subunit of the eukaryotic ribosome. It is transcribed by RNA polymerase I as part of the 45S precursor that also contains 18S and 28S rRNA. Lineage: Eukaryota; Viridiplantae; Streptophyta; Magnoliopsida; Apiales; Apiaceae. The record is from RNAcentral.